CCAACUUGGAUAUCCCGGGUGCUCACGCUCUCUGGGCUCUGACCCAGUGGCAUAGGCGAGCACAGGGCUGUGCCCUGUGAUGUACAAUCCCUUGCCACAACAUUUGAGAAGAGCCUGGGCCUCGUGUCUGCACCUGCAUACUCCUACAGCUUCUCAGAGUUCUUUGGGCAAUGACUGAGGAGAUAAACCAUGCAGGAAACAGUG
Small nucleolar RNA from Octodon degus (degu), 204 nucleotides. Its record names the gene SNORA73. It matches the Rfam family "Small nucleolar RNA SNORA73 family". Rfam says of the family: U17 (SNORA73A and SNORA73B) also known as E1 belongs to the H/ACA class of small nucleolar RNAs (snoRNAs). Vertebrate U17 is intron-encoded and ranges in length from 200-230 nucleotides, longer than most snoRNAs. Lineage: Eukaryota; Metazoa; Chordata; Mammalia; Rodentia; Octodontidae. The record is from Ensembl.